GUAGGGUGCGAGCGUUGUCCGGAAUUAUUGGGCGUAAAGAGCUCGUAGGCGGUCUGUCGCGUCGGUCGUGAAAACUUGGGGCUUAACCCUGAGCUUGCGGUCGAUACGGGCAUGACUGGAGCUCGGCAGGGGAGACUGGAAUUCCUGGUGUAGCGGUGAAAUGCGCAGAUAUCAGGAGGAACACCGGUGGCGAAGGCGGGUCUCUGGGCCGAUACUGACGCUGAGGAGCGAAAGCGUGGGGAGCGAACAGGAUUAGAUACCCUGGUAGUCCACGCCGUAAACGGUGGGCGCUAGGUGUGGGGGCCCAUUCCACGGUCUCUGUGCCGCAGCUAACGCAUUAAGCGCCCCCGCCUGGGAGUACGGCCGCAAGGCUA
RNAcentral lists this ribosomal RNA (374 nucleotides) under uncultured organism. RNAcentral describes it as "partial 16S ribosomal RNA". It matches the Rfam family "Bacterial small subunit ribosomal RNA", at positions 527 to 896 of the family's 1533-position model. The record is from RNAcentral.